UGAAGUUAAAGGCUGUGGNUUAACCAUAGUACGCUAUGAAAACUGUUUAACUUGAGUGCAGAAGGGGAGAGUGGAAUNCCAUGUGUAGCGGUGAAAUGCGUAGAUAUAUGGAGGAACACCGGUGGCGAAAGCGGCUCUCUGGUCUGUAACUGACGCUGAGGCUCGAAAGCGUGGGGAGCGAACAGGAUUAGAUACCCUGGUAGUCCACGCCGUAAACGAUGAGUGCUAGGUGUUAGGCCCUUUCCGGGGCUUAGUGCCGCAGCUAACGCAUUAAGCACUCCGCCUGGGGAGUACGACCGCAAGGUUGAAACUCAAAGGAAUUGACGGGGGCCCGCACAAGCGGUGGAGCAUGUGGUUUAAUUCGAAGCAACGCGAAGAACCUUACCAGGUCUUGACAUCCCGAUGCCCGCUCUAGAGAUAGAGUUUUACUUCGGUACAUCGGUGACAGGUGGUGCAUGGUUGUCGUCAGCUCGUGUCGUGAGAUGUUGGGUUAAGUCCCGCAACGAGCGCAACCCUUAUUGUUAGUUGCCAUCAUUCAGUUGGGCACUCUAGCGAGACUGCCGGUAAUAAACCGGAGGAAGGUGGGGAUGACGUCAAAUCAUCAUGCCCCUUAUGACCUGGGCUACACACGUGCUACAAUGGCUGGUACAACGAGUCGCAAGUCGGUGACGGCAAGCUAAUCUCUUAAAGCCAGUCUCAGUUCGGAUUGUAGGCUGCAACUCGCCUACAUGAAGUCGGAAUCGCUAGUAAUCGCGGAUCGGCACGCCGCGGUGAAUACGUUCCCGGGCCUUGUACACACCGCCCGUCACACCACGAGAGUUUGUAACACCCGAAGUCGGUGAGGUAACCUUUUAGGANCCA
RNAcentral lists this ribosomal RNA (861 nucleotides) under uncultured bacterium. RNAcentral's name for it is "bacterial SSU rRNA". It matches the Rfam family "Bacterial small subunit ribosomal RNA", at positions 590 to 1451 of the family's 1533-position model. The record is from RNAcentral.